RNAcentral lists this ribosomal RNA (749 nucleotides) under uncultured bacterium. Its description in RNAcentral is "bacterial SSU rRNA". It matches the Rfam family "Bacterial small subunit ribosomal RNA", at positions 198 to 925 of the family's 1533-position model. The record is from RNAcentral.
UAAGAAAAGGUGGCCUCUGAAGAUGCUACCGAUUAUGGAUGGACCCGCGUCUGAUUAGCUAGUUGGUGGGGUAAAGGCCUACCAAGGCGACGAUCAGUAGCCGGCCUGAGAGGGUGAACGGCCACACUGGGACUGAGACACGGCCCAGACUCCUACGGGAGGCAGCAGUGGGGAGUAUUGCGCAAUGGACGAAAGUCUGACGGAGCAACGCCGCGUGUAUGAUGAAGGUCUUCGGAUUGUAAAGUACUGUCUUUGGGGAAGAACGGUGGGUUUGAGAAUAUUGAGUCCACAUGACGGUACCCAAGGAGGAAGCCCCGGCUAACUACGUGCCAGCAGCCGCGGUAAUACGUAGGGGGCAAGCGUUGUCCGGAAUUAUUGGGCGUAAAGGGCGCGUAGGCGGAUGCUUAAGUCCGGUGUGAAAGAUCAGGGCUCAACCCUGAGAGUGCAUCGGAAACUGGGUAUCUUGAGGACAGGAGAGGAAAGUGGAAUUCCACGUGUAGCGGUGAAAUGCGUAGAUAUGUGGAGGAACACCAGUGGCGAAGGCGACUUUCUGGACUGUAACUGGCGCUGAGGCGCGAAAGCGUGGGGAGCAAACAGGAUUAGAUACCCUGGUAGUCCACGCCGUAAACGAUGAGUGCUAGGUGUAGAGGGUAUCGACCCCUUCUGUGCCGCAGUUAACACAAUAAGCACUCCGCCUGGGGAGUACGGCCUGCAAGGUUGAAACUCAAAGGAAUUGACGGAAUCGAAUU